CUAACGGUUCUUCUCAGAACCAAACAUGUAAACCAGUACGAAAUA
Molecule: non-coding RNA, 45 nt
Organism: Soboliphyme baturini
Lineage: Eukaryota; Metazoa; Nematoda; Enoplea; Dioctophymatida; Soboliphymatidae
Source: Rfam